AUUGAACGCUGGCGGAAUGCUUUACACAUGCAAGUCGAACGGUAGAGGGGGCAACCUCUCGAGAGUGGCGAACGGGUGAGUAAUAUAUCGGAACGUGCCCAGUCGUGGGGGAUAACGUAGCGAAAGUUACGCUAAUACCGCAUACGAUCUACGGAUGAAAGCGGGGGACUCGCAAGAGCCUCGCGCGAUUGGAGCGGCCGAUAUCAGAUUAGGUAGUUGGUGGGGUAAAGGCUCACCAAGCCAACGAUCUGUAGCUGGUCUGAGAGGACGACCAGCCACACUGGAACUGAGACACGGUCCAGACUCCUACGGGAGGCAGCAGUGGGGAAUUUUGGACAAUGGACGCAAGUCUGAUCCAGCCAUUCCGCGUGCAGGAUGAAGGCCCUCGGGUUGUAAACUGCUUUUGUACGGAACGAAAAGGUUUCCAUUAAUACUGGGAGCUCAUGACGGUACCGUAAGAAUAAGCACCGGCUAACUACGUGCCAGCAGCCGC
RNAcentral lists this ribosomal RNA (493 nucleotides) under uncultured bacterium. Its description in RNAcentral is "bacterial SSU rRNA". It matches the Rfam family "Bacterial small subunit ribosomal RNA", at positions 30 to 518 of the family's 1533-position model. The record is from RNAcentral.